RNAcentral lists this long non-coding RNA (7659 nucleotides) under Exaiptasia diaphana. RNAcentral's name for it is "uncharacterized LOC110249142, transcript variant X2". The record is from RNAcentral. Lineage: Eukaryota; Metazoa; Cnidaria; Anthozoa; Actiniaria; Aiptasiidae.
GGUUUUACUGGUGUGGNAAACAAAUGUUUGUUGCGUUUCAAGAAGCGAUUGUCAGUGCGCUGGGGCAUCGAUGCGAAGGUGGAAGUUAGAGCGUGUUGUCCAGAAAAUUGGAUUCAAGCCCCUCGACUUUGACCAAGCAAGAAAAGUAAACGUCAACAGCAAAACCACGAAAGUGAGCUUGAGUGAAAGGAUCUUUGAAGUGACAUGAGUCCAGAGCUUCGUCACGUCAUUGAUUCUCUGUUGCAGUUGAUCCAAAGACAACAGAUUAAUUGAUCCAAAAAGAGCGUGAUGGCUUGAAGAGAUGCAAGAAGUUGUUAACACAGGAAUCUAUUUGUAGAGUAGAAUAUGUAGUACAUCAGUUAGAGCACUCAACCCACAGAUAUUUCUUGGAAUUUUUGUUCAGGCUGCAUUUGCUUAUAUGUUGUGGAGAAUAGAGUAAGGUUAAGCCAUGUAUUCCAAACAAGUGCUACGCUUAGUUUUUAGUUCCAUCCAUUGGAUCAUUAUGGCCAAGUGUUCAAGAAACAGGCAAGCUGGAAAUUUAUUUUUGUAAAUGCAUUCGAUUAUACUGGGUGGGUGGGUUGUUUUGUCUGUCUUUUUCUUUCAAGAUAAGUCAAGUACUACAAGGAAGACAUUCCUUCAUAUUGAAGUACCUUCUGAGGCAAGCCUGCAAAAGGUUACAUUUUAUCCCUCAUACACUGCAAUAUUUGUAGAAUAUGUGCAUAUUCUCCUUAGAGUUUCAGCUCAAAAUGUAUAUGCCAUCUAAUGGAAAUAGCCUGGAAAUCUUGGUGAAGAUAUUGAAGGUUUAGUUGCUUCAGACUUUCUAUAAAGACAUCAUGAACAUUAGUAAACAGUGAAAUGUAGACUAUGGCAUUUAAGUGACAAAUAGGGGGUUCGAUUGGGGUUGCAUCUUUUUUUCAUCUUUCAGGAUGAGCAUUCAAGUUCAUAAGAAUUUCAUUCUUCAGGCCAUGAAAUCAAUCUAAACAUCACUGGUAAAACCUAUUUGAUUAAGUACCAUCUCGUUUGUGGACAGCAAAUAAUCAAACAAUAUAGUUUAUGAGGUGUUGGUCGUUUCGGCUAGCUUAAGCCUGCAUUGAAGAGCGAGUGUGUGGGAGAGGUUUGGCAGGAAUGGAUGCAAGAUAGAUUAAAGGAGGAAGAACCUUAAGCAUGUGGUGUAUGCGUUUUGUCUUUGCCAUUUCUUGAAGGACUUUCAUGCGAAAGAUGCUAGAGCUGUUCAAGAUCUGCGACUAUUUGAUAAGUUGUCUAAGAAAUAUUCUGCCCAUAAUGGAAUAACCUUAGGAAUUCUUGUUCAAAGUGGAGAGAGAAAGAGAAUAGAAUGUGGUCCUUUUAUCCUUGUCCCUAGCUUAGAGAAUGAGAUGUGCAUAAAGUGUUAAAAUGACUGGCGACUAUCAGCUAUUUUUUGUGAAGUGUCAUGGGGCUGGGUUGGUGUGCUUUGUUUCUUUGACUUGCAGCGCAAGUAUCCACCAAAAAAGAAAAUCGGCUGAUAAUGGACGAGACACAGAUACAGUCAAUUAGUAAGAAAAAGCUGACAAGUAAUAGUAAGACGAUAGUAUUGCCAUCUUAAAUCACCUAUCCAGCAUAGUUAAUACAACCAACUUGUAGGAUGACCUUUUCCUCCACGAUAAGCACUACACAUCCCUAACAGACGACAACACAACUAAGAUAUCUAUCGAGACACUGAAUGGAAAGAUAGUAGUUUUACUCUGCAUCUAGAAAUAAGAAAAAGAAGGAGAGUGGUAAGAUGUUUUUGGCCAUUUGGGUCUGUAUGUGGUAAUUCUUUCUUGCCUAGUGAUUGUGAAAAGAGUUGACAAGAAAAUCAGAGUCCAGUUAAGGGUUUGAAAUGUUGACAAAGUCUUACUACAGGGAUGUUUUGGCUUCUGGGAAAGAGUACAGAAAAGUUACAACUUCUAAGUAAGCACUAAUUUGAGUUGAUGUCGUCAAUGUGUUUUGGCUUCCAUUACCAGGAUCCAAUGUAGCAAAUGAUGAAAUUCCCGAGUGUGACUUAAAAUCUUCAACACGUAAGCCAUGUCAAGCUCAUUUAAGUCUAAAGUAGUUGUGGUUCAUGUAGUAGUGGUUUAGGACUGAAAUCGUUUAAUAUAAUGCAACAUAUUGCCGACAAAGUUUUCCAAAGCCAUGUGGUCUUGACUCGGCAGUUCUAAAGCAAUCACAGCUUUGAAGCACUUGGUAAGCUAAAUGCAUUUUCCAAUUUUUGGUAUAGUGGUGUGUGUAUUUUUCUUGUGUACAGAGCCCUCGAUCAUUGGUGACUUCCCUAAGAUNCUAGGCAAAAGCAAUACCAGUUGAGUCUAAAGCGCCAAUCAAAUUUUGGUUUACAAGUUUAAGCAAAGUAAGAUGUGAUAAACUUCAAAGUAAAAUGGCCAUUUGUGUAUUUCCUUGGUGCAUGCUCCUAUUUCCAUUUACAGAAAACAUUUUUGUUCUAUUGAUGUAAGGAGGCGGAAAGUUCUUGGUAACAUAUUCCUCGGUAAUAAUAAUCUUGGUCUGAAAAGAGUAACUUGUGUACCAGAAUUUCAUUGAUCUCGAUCUAGUUGGCAAUUAUUAUACUAUAGAGAUAAACAAGUUGAAUGGCAUAUUUUCAAGUAUGAGAAGUCUAAAGUUCCUAGUGUUUAAAGCAUCAUGCCGGGCAUGUGGGAAUUUUUUGGAUGUUUUGGUUUCUUUUGACAGGUUUGAUCUUGACAAACAUUAGUUCCACAGUUGAUUUUCAAAGAAAGUCUUGCAAUUUUGGUGGAUUUUUCAAAAAAUUGGUCGUUCGUGGUAUUAGUGUAAGCCAAACCUUUUAUUUUGGUGGCAGUGGUUUUCUAAAAGAACCAAUUCCCUUCGAGAGGUCUUCUUAUUCAGCAGUAGCAUUUUGUUUCCUUUAAAAAAUGUNGGGAUUUUUGAGCUCUUCAAGUAUUUGAGAUCGAUGAUUUACAGAUUGCGAAGAAAAACUAUUCAGCUUGNUACCAAAUUGAUGAGAAAAACCUGUGGUAAGGCUGUUUAAUUUUAUUUUGACCCUUUUGGGUCAGGAUUACGGUUGUGUUUUCCUUUUUUCUUUCAGCAAAUUUGUUGUAAUAGACAAAUGAGAAGUGAAAGUAGUGUUGCCUAGUAAUAUCUUAAGGAUGCAAGAAUUGCAAGCUCUCACUUCCAAGCCAUACCACUUCAUGUACAACCAUAAGUUACAGUUAGAGCUAUCAUUUGCGAGUGUUCCAUCAUAAAGCGAGCUAACAAGUUAAACCAUGAAAAGUUAAAGCCAUUGCCAUAUGGAGUCCUCAUUUUUUUGUCCGGUUAUGUUUUCUGCCUCAGGACUAAGACAUAAGUGUGUAAUCAAGUCCAGAACAUGUAAAUUUUCCAGUUGUAAGGUAUCAUUCCAGCCACCUUGCAUUCUUUUUUGUGGUGUUUGAUUUGUUUUUGCCAGGUCUGCUUGUAAUAAAGCACAGUCCUUCAAUAUUGACUUCCCAGUUAACUAAAUCUUCACUUUCCAACUUUUUGGUGUCAGUGGUAGCAGUCCAACAGUGUACCUCAAAUGAGACGGCUGUAUCUGAAAAAUGAAUCUGUGGCGAUAGCGUUUUCUUAGAGUGCAGAAUGUUAACAACAAUCCAAAAGACUUUCACUCUUUGGCAAUAGUUAGCAACAUCGAAACCUGAGCAGCUGGUAGUUUUUGUUCUGUGAAAUGGUAGUACCAUUCUUGAUUUUCCAGCAGCUUUAUUAUGAAAUCGUGCCAGUUCAGGAAUGUCUGGUAAGACGAUGUUUUAGUUUCUUAUAACCCAUUUGGGUCCAUUGUAGGCCUCUGUGUUUCCUAUUAUUGCAGAAAAUUCCUUUGAAGCCAAUCGAUGAAUAAUGUCCAGUUUCUAUGAAGAUUACUAAAUCAAGGAAGUUAGCCAAUGCAUANCCAAAAGAUGCAAGUGUUUUGUCACCUUGAAACCAUAUUCANUCCAGUAAAGUUACUGUGUAAUUUGUGGCAUUCUAAAGUCUUGAGAGUUCCAACCAUAAAGAUUCCUUAGCAAUUUACAGUGAAAUAUCACGCCAACGAUCAUUGCCAUGUGCCUUUGUCAUGCUUGCUUGAAGGAUAAGUCAUAAAAGACCAGGUCAAUUUCAAGUGAAAUAGUUAACAUGUGAGGUAUUGUUAAAACCAUAUUCUUUUUGUGGUGCAUAUUUUGGUUUUCUUUGUCAGGUCUAACAAAUCAUAGUCCUUCAAUAUCGAGUUUCCUNUCAUUCUCAAUUACGUAUUUUGCGUGGAGGGUUGGUNGUUUUCUUGAUUGGCAGCCAAGCUCUACUUACAAAUUGAGCAUCCCAACUGAAAGAGUAAGCGCAAGAAACAUCAAAUCUCCUUUGACAUGAGCAGUUUUUAGAGCAGCAUUUCCCCAAGAAUGAUUUCUCAGUGCCAGACAUGUGGGUUAGGUGUUUUGACCACUUGAUUUACGAAACUUUUCAAACCAAAACUGAUAUCUGGUAAGGAUGUGUUUUAAUUUUGACCCAUUUGGGUCCAUUGUGCUUGUUACAUAAUUUUUCUUGCAGCAAAUUUCUGGUGAAGCACUUGAUGAGAAAUUUUGAGAAUCCGGAUCACUACAUGUAGAUUCCAGUAGAAUUGCACAAGUACAAUAGUAAUCCUAAGAUGAAAGCUUUGUUAUGCAACAUACAUGAUUUCCUUUUUGACUGUUUGUGUUCAUUUGUGAGUUUUUUGGAUCACUAUAAGUAGACAACUAAAAAGCGGUAAGCAAAGUUUUUUCUGAGAUGAUUUGUUUUUUUUUUGUAUGCAUGUGUUUAUCAUGUUAUAGCAGAUAGCAAGAUCCACAAUGAAUCAGGCAAAUUUAUCAAGAGGUAUCAGCAUUGUUUGGCCAUAACGCUUAAAUCUCCGAAGUAUAUGUAGAGUGACAAAGAACAAUUUAAGAUUGGUGUGUGUGUUCACUGUCUUCGCAGUGUCUCUGGUAAAGUUCAUUCACUUGUGAAAAGUGUCUGUUUUUUUCAACUGUGGAAUUCUGUGGCAGUAUCUAUUUGUGGUGUUCGUUAAUUGUUACCAUCCAAGCACAAACUUUGAAUACUUGUCAUUUUCACUUGUACGUGAAUGUGAGCAUCUUCAUUCAUCAACCCUGUUAUUUCAAACACAUUGUUACUAUGGAUUAAGCCAGCAGCAUUCUAACCAAUAACCAGGCAUUUGUGGAGCACUAGAAGGAAUGUAAACCGAAGCUUUUUUUUUUUACAAAGACAUAGCAGUACUUAGCCAUCACAGUGAAACCUAAGAUAAUGUACAUGUUAUGUAACACAUCAGAUGGUAAAAGAUUAUUGGUAAGCUUUCAAGUAAGCAAUUUAACUUCUAAUGGCCCUUUGGGUCUCUAGUUUUUGUAUGUAGUCUGCAUUCUAUUUUCUACAGAUUGUCUCUGUAAUGCACGUCCUACUAACCAAGAGUCAAAGUAUGAAUAUUGCCCAACUUCUUUACGAAAGAGUAGAAAGUAAUCACUGUUAAUGCCAAUGGCCAGAAUCACCUAAACUAUGUCCUGUAAGAGAACCACAUAAGCAUUAAACCAAGCAGACCUACUUGAAACACCUUAACUGUAUUCCUGAGCAAGANCUGCCUAACCAUAAGUUUAUAAUGAGAUCAACCUUAACAGAAAAGUAAUCCAGCACUGCACCACUUAACCUGUGUUCCUGUAACAUUAGAAUUGCCUAAUCCUAUACCAAACCAUCCUGACUCCAAACUUCGGCUGACUAAACUGUAUAUUGAUGUCACGUAAGCAGUUAUGGUUCCCUAGUUGUUGGUGUACUGUUUAAGUCACACUCCAUAUCUUUGGUAUUCCAAUGUGUCCAUUGUGUUUUUGCCUUCAUGAUAUUGUAGUUUCCAGUCUGAAAAGUUUUUGUUUCAUGGCACUAUUCAUACAAGCAUUAUUUUGUAGUCUGAUGUUUUGGUAAGCUAGCAUACAUACAUUGUAGUUGUAGGAGUUUUGUUUUGUCCUUUCAACAGUAUAUUAUAGGUGCAGCCGUCAGCAAUCCAAGUAAAAAUUUAGGUAUUUGAGAAGUAGCUGCUAUCUAGAGGUAGCGAUAAGUAAGCAAUUUGAUUCAUUACUUAGAGUUAACUACUCUCAGUUUUUGAGAAAAAAUAUUUCAUAAUUCUAACAUAGCAACUUUUAGUAAGGUUUUUAUAUGUAAAUAGUUUCAUGACAGUACCUAUUUGUCAUAAUGAGUGAUCAUAGAUGAGUGUAUGUUUGCAUGGUACCAUGUAUGUUUUGGUUAACUAUUUAACAGGCCGGGCAAUUGCAUAGAAGAUGGCUUUUACAGUACAAGAGAUGUAAGUUUUUUUCUGGUAUCUAUGUACCAUACGUGUCAUUAUCAUUAAAUCUUCAGUAAAGGGUGAUUCGAUAUAAAAAGAUCAGCAUUUAUGGUUGUAUUUUUGGUUUUGGAUUUCAAACUCCUACACUUUGAGCUUUCAACCAUGGGUAAGCAGAGUUUUAAAUUUUAUUGCUCGUCAUGCAUUGUUCAUUUGAUCUCAUCAGUACAAAACUGACAAACACGACAAAAUAUUUGGUAAGAAUUUUUGACUUUGUUUUCAUGUCAUUCCAUGGGUUGUUACUUUAUUUUAAUCUUCAGUGAUAAAAAACAACAAAACAAUUCACAUUAUGGUAAGCAACUUUGUUUUGAGAUAAUGCAGUAGUAGAUUGUUGAUUUGAUUAAAUCUUCAGUAUCAAAUAAUGGUCAAAUUUNCGGUAAGCUACUUUUGAGAUUUUACUGUUACGGAUUGUUACUGUCAUUGAAUCUUCAGUUCUAAAAUCAACUAACAUUGUAAACCCUAAACCAGUGGUAAGCAAAAUUGCUUUAAAUUAAUUCGUAUUUUGCGAUGGUUUGUUACUUUCAUUUAAUCUUCAGUAUAUUAUGGUAGUUGCCUUGAGUUUAGGUAAGCAAAAUUGUACCAUCUACUUCGUAACUUUACUAUGACCCUCAGGGUCUCUUGUUAGCAGUGUGCUUCUAUUACUUUUAACAGGCACUAUCAAAAUUAAUACUACUGUGGAAGCAGUUCAGAGAUAUUUGGAAUCGGAAGUAUUCUGAUGAUAUGUAAGACUUAUGUUGUGUAACAGUUUGUCUUAUUAGUCAUUGUAAUUUUAGUGUGAUUUAUUUUAAUUUUUGUAUAUAUAACAGAUCUGUUCAAUAUGUCAUGUAAAGUAUUGGUGUCAUUUGUUUUUAGACUUCUAUAAUGUAAUAGUAAUGUUUAUAUUUCAUGCUAUGCCUAGUUAAAUAACUAAAAAGUACAUGCAGCUGGUUUCACUGGGUUGAGUGCUCUAGGGUUAGUUAAUGUAAGAUAUAUGUAAGGUGUAGAUAUUACAUAUUAUAAGGAUGUAUGGGGGGUAAGGGGUUUCGUUUGUAGAUGUGAUGGAUGUUGGUAAGGAAUUUGGCAGGAGCUCUAAAGAAGGAAGGAGGGUUAUGGAGAUAAGGUGAAUAAGUGAAAGGGGCUGAAAGAUAAAGGAAUUGGUGUAGAGGUGGAGAAGAGGGAAAUAGACUGAAGGUGUGAGAAGAGGACUUGUCAACUCAUCAGGAAAAUGAAUGGAUUGGUACAUGGAAGAAGAGAUAGUAAGAGUGAAGAUGAAUGUGGUUAGCAAGUGGUGCUGAAGGAUAGGGAGAACAGAAAGUUUAGCAAAUGAUGAGAAAGGAAAACAGACGAGA